Long non-coding RNA from Mercenaria mercenaria, 1543 nucleotides. RefSeq lists it as uncharacterized. The transcript is spliced from 3 exons. Lineage: Eukaryota; Metazoa; Mollusca; Bivalvia; Venerida; Veneridae. The record is from RefSeq and is a predicted model, not a curated record.
GUUGAAGACGUUGCCAAGAGAUUUGAAAUGGAUUUCUGUUGGACAUUGGUCAGAGCACGAUAGUUAUUCAGUGAACUGGCAUUUUUGUGUCCUGUCACAUGGACGGCGUGUGUGUCUGGAACUUCAUUUUCAAGUAGUUUUUGACAAAGCCUUUUUCGGACAGAGGUGUUAGUAAUGCGUUUUCCGAACUGAAGCUCAGGCAAAUCAGCUUUGGCAGCCAUGGAUUUAAGCAGGUUGUUAAGCUUAUUCCUUCCAAUCGGACCACGUAGAAACCAUUGAUCCUUGACAGCAGGUGUUCUGGUGUGUGUGACCACAGCCAAGUAAAAUGGGUCUUCAUCUCCUAAAGAAGAAAUACUGACAGUGGGCAUCUGUCAGUUCCUGUUGCGUACAUUCUUGGCUUUUGACGGCGGAUGUUGGACGGAUCAAUACCAGUGCGAGUUUUUGUCUGGCGUUCAUUAUACUCAAGGUACUCUGUUCCAGUGGCACUGUCAAAUCCAAGCUUUACAUCACCCCACAUCAGUUGCCUGGAUAAAUUGGUUGUUUCAGGGCGAAUGUGGACUAAGUGUAUAUUCACUAUAAACAUCCAGAUACCUACCGGUCAAGACUGCUGAUCAUGCCUCGGAUUGUAGAUGGCUCAUACUCUUCACCAUUUUUCUGCCGGACCCUAAUUACAAAUUCCUGCAGAUAUGUGUCUAACUCAGCAGGAGGAAUAAAAUGCACCUGCCUGUUUUCACCCUUUUCGGACAGAAAGGACACGACUAAAGCAACAUUAGAACGUGUCUUGUCUUCAGUACGCUUGUUUUUAAGACUUUCUCUGUACGCUUUUGGAUUUGAACUCAUGGGUGCAAAGCGGUUGUUUUGAUUAUUUGCUGAUGAUCCAGGUACUUGAGGUAGUGUUUUCUGGUCUGAACAUUUUUCCUGAAUGCUGACAUCAUUUGAAAUACCAAAAUCAUCAUCAAAGGGAAGAAUGUCAUAAAAAUCUUGGAAAGGAUCAUGAUCAGUUGUCAGUGGACAAGGCAGUGUGGCGGGCACAUUUUUAGCAAUAGGUGUUAAGUCUUGCUCUGGUUGUGUUUUUAAUGAACCAGCACAGGCAAAUUUGUCGGGAUUGUAGCAAUUGAACAGUGCUUGAAAAUCAUCAUCAGGGAGCCCUUUUACUAAUUCAUGUCUUGCAGCAGUUUUCACCUCUCCAGUAAAGUACAUGUGUACUUUGUACAUGCAGUACGUGCCUAAGGGCCUAAUUAUGUCUAUGAUACGCCCCUUUUCACCUACGGACCCGAUUUGGACAACGUCCCCGAUUUUGAACUCUCUUAUGGUAUUGACAGUAGACAUGUUUGUUUUGUAAACAAUGAAACGCUGACGGAAAUUGUUAUGGCUUAUUUUAUAAGUGUUUACUCUUUUCCAUUUUUUUUCAUAUUGAAUUGUACUUUUUGACUAAUUGCUAAAUGAGAAGGAACAAAUAAUUAUGCUUUUUUAUUUUUAUUUCUAUUUAAUUUUGUCUCGUCUAUGACGUAGUUUUGUUGAAUUAAAAGGAGUUCCGAAAGUA